RNAcentral lists this ribosomal RNA (265 nucleotides) under uncultured bacterium. RNAcentral's name for it is "partial 16S ribosomal RNA". It matches the Rfam family "Bacterial small subunit ribosomal RNA", at positions 88 to 354 of the family's 1533-position model. The record is from RNAcentral.
CCGGCGACCGGCGCACGGGUGAGUAACACGUAUGCAACCUGCCCUCUUCAGGGGGACAACCUUCCGAAAGGGAGGCUAAUCCCGCGUAUAUCGGUUUCGGGCAUCCGAGAUCGAGGAAAGAUUCAUCGGAAGAGGAUGGGCAUGCGGCGCAUUAGCUAGACGGCGGGGUAACGGCUCACCGUGGCGACGAUGCGUAGGGGUUCUGAGAGGAAGGUCCCCCACAUUGGAACUGAGACACGGUCCAAACUCCUACGGAAGGCAGCAG